Molecule: small nucleolar RNA, 128 nt
Organism: Lepus europaeus (European hare)
Lineage: Eukaryota; Metazoa; Chordata; Mammalia; Lagomorpha; Leporidae
Product: small nucleolar RNA SNORA63
Exons: 1
Source: RefSeq, a predicted model, not a curated record
AAGCAGGAUUCAGACUACAGUAUAGCUGUUGAGUGCUGUGUUGUCAUUCCCUCUGCUCAAAAUAAGGUUGUUUCUCAACUGUGUCUACCAUAUCCCUUUAACAGCCAGGGACACAUGGUGUCAUAAAG